UGCUCGAAAGAGAGCCGUAACACAGGUGCUGCAUGGCUGUCGUCAGCUCGUGUCGUGAGAUGUUGGGUUAAGUCCCGCAACGAGCGCAACCCUUGUCAUUAGUUGCUACGAAAGGGCACUCUAAUGAGACUGCCGGUGACAAACCGGAGGAAGGUGGGGAUGACGUCAAGUCCUCAUGGCCCUUAUGGGUAGGGCUUCACACGUCAUACAAUGGUACAUACAGAGGGCUGCCAACCCGCGAGGGGGAGCUAAUCCCAGAAAGUGUAUCGUAGUCCGGAUUGAAGUCUGCAACUCGACUUCAUGAAGUUGGAAUCGCUAGUAAUCGCGGAUCAGCAUGUCGCGGUGAAUACGUUCCCGGGUCUU
This 363-nucleotide ribosomal RNA is filed under the name uncultured Herminiimonas sp. RNAcentral describes it as "bacterial SSU rRNA". It matches the Rfam family "Bacterial small subunit ribosomal RNA", at positions 1013 to 1382 of the family's 1533-position model. The record is from RNAcentral. Lineage: Bacteria; Pseudomonadati; Pseudomonadota; Betaproteobacteria; Burkholderiales; Oxalobacteraceae.